Molecule: long non-coding RNA, 1727 nt
Filed under: Mus musculus (house mouse)
Lineage: Eukaryota; Metazoa; Chordata; Mammalia; Rodentia; Muridae
Description: predicted gene 10505, transcript variant 13 (Gm10505)
Source: RNAcentral
GGAGUUUGUCGGCAGCAACAGGCACGGUCUCCAGAAGAAGGUGUGUGCAACCAUACCUUUAAUCCCAGAUGACCUUGAACUCAGAGAUCUCCUUAUCUUAAUCUUCUGGAAUUCAUAGCCACUAUACCUCAAGAUCUCCAUGCCAAGAUCCAGGUCAGAAACUUGUAUCUCCCAGCCUCCAGAUUAGGAUCACAGCAUGGGGCCUGCUGGGACUCGUCUCCUGCUAUGCUUCAGCUCCUGCCCAAUCACUUACCUGUGCCAGGAGAAGCCUCUGGACAUGCCUGGGCAGCCUCUGGACAUGCACUGCUCCCAUUCCUCGCUGAGAGGGCAUCUCCCCGAGUGCCUCUCCAUCCCAGUAGACUCUCCAGAUGUGCCCAGUCCUCAACUGGUGUGGCCUCACCAGAGAGACUCAGACCAAACAGGCCUCCACAGCCUCUCUCUAGACACUUUCUGGGAAACCACAGUGGAAUACAAAAGGUCCUCAUUUGCCCUGAACCCUGGGAAGCCCUGUGGCAUUGGUUCAUGAGUGCUGUGGUUGGUUAUUUGGAACUUAAUUCUCUUGGUAUUUGCCACUUCCCAGUUGUCCCCUUUACUGUUCACAGUCCCCACCUAUAAUCCUCGGCUUCCUGGCACUUCCGGAGCCCAUAUUAACGUACCAAUUUUUUGUACCCCAUUUAGGGCACCAACUGUUCUGAUCUCUUGAAGAGCUCCUCAGGCAACCUUCUGUUUCUAGCAAGAUGAUACACCCAAGCCUUGAUGACAAGGCUUGGCUCUCAACCUCCUUGCUCCCCACCUCCUGUGAAAUACACAAAGAAAUUCAGUGAUCAUCGGGGAUGCUCUGGUCCAAACACUACCUGCCAGCCAGACGCAGGAGAUGGAUGGCUCAGCAGUAAUCGUGCUGCUUGAGCUUGGUGUCUAAUGGGGACAGUAGUGACAGGAAGUUCACAGGGACUGGAAGACAUGAGUUCUCUGAGGGAAAGGAAGGUGAAGCCUGGUGCUUAGGACCCUCAGGAGACCAUAGGAUGUGAGAAGGCUCAAGACACCCAGAGGUGGGGUCAGAAACAGGGCAAAGGAGACCAAGCAUGGGAGAGCUGCAGUGGACGUGUACAGACAGGAGAAGCAGGCCCUAAAGAAUCCCUGAGGCGGCAGAGAGGCUGGGCUGUGGAACUUUUUAAUUACUUUGCAUUAGGGGACUGUAGAGACCCAGAAGCCCACCCUUCCCCUCCCCUCAUCAGCUUAGCCCCAACAUAUGGUGGCUACCAAAGUAGUUAAAUCGGCUCUUGGUAGAAAAGGAAAGAGAUUCCUCCCAGGCUCUUCCCAGGGUCCACGGCCACACUCCAGGAGGGCUCAACUCCAGGGCAAGGCAGCUGGGACAGCAGGCAGCUGAAGGAGGACUAUUACUGCACCUUAGGGAAGAGUGCAGUGGCGAGUGGGGAGGACUCUGCUGGGACCCGGGGGUCAUGUGCAUUCCCAUUUAGUUGAGCUCUGCUUAAUCCGGGCCUAGGCUCACAGUAAUGGGGAACGAGGAGAGGCUCCCAUCAGAGACCAAGAAGAUGACAGACUCUCUGUAAAGGCUGUCAGAGGGGUCUGCAUGACCAACCACACCUGCUCCUGUUCCUUUGGGGCUCUUGUGACCUCCCUGUCUUCUUGUGAGAUCUUAUGUUCCUCCAACCCUGAGAGCUACAAACCAAUCUCCGGAAUAAAAAAAUCUGUCCCUCGUGCUGUCA